Molecule: small nuclear RNA, 191 nt
Filed under: Echeneis naucrates (live sharksucker)
Lineage: Eukaryota; Metazoa; Chordata; Actinopteri; Carangiformes; Echeneidae
Description: U2 spliceosomal RNA (ENSENLG00000004130.1)
Rfam family: U2 spliceosomal RNA
About the family: U2 is a small nuclear RNA (snRNA) component of the spliceosome (involved in pre-mRNA splicing). Complementary binding between U2 snRNA (in an area lying towards the 5' end but 3' to hairpin I) and the branchpoint sequence (BPS) of the intron results the bulging out of an unpaired adenosine, on the BPS, which initiates a nucleophilic attack at the intronic 5' splice site, thus starting the first of two transesterification reactions that mediate splicing.
Source: Rfam by way of RNAcentral
AUCGCUUCUCGGCCUUUUGGCUAAGAUCAAGUGUAGUAUCUGUUCUUAUCAGUUUAAUAUCUGAUACGUCCCCUACCCGGGGACCAUAUAUUAAAUAGAUUUUUGGAACAGGGAGAUGGAAUAGGGGCUUGCUCCGUCCACUCCACGCAUCGACCUGGUAUUGCAGUAUCUCCAGGAACAGUGCACUCCCU